UACGUAGGUGGCAAGCGUUGUCCGGAUUUACUGGGCGUAAAGAGCGCGCAGGCGGUCGAUCAAGUCGCGUGUGAAAGCCCCCGGCUCAACUGGGGAGGGUCACGCGACACUGAUCGACUCGAAGGCAGGAGAGGGUAGUGGAAUUCCCGGUGUAGUGGUGAAAUGCGUAGAUAUCAGGAGGAACACCGGUGGCGAAGGCGGAUCUCUGGGCCUUACCUGACGCUGAGGCGCGAAAGCUAGGGGAGCGAACAGG
This 253-nucleotide ribosomal RNA is filed under the name uncultured bacterium. RNAcentral's name for it is "partial 16S ribosomal RNA". It matches the Rfam family "Bacterial small subunit ribosomal RNA", at positions 524 to 776 of the family's 1533-position model. The record is from RNAcentral.